Molecule: ribosomal RNA, 542 nt
Filed under: uncultured bacterium
Lineage: Bacteria
Description: bacterial SSU rRNA
Rfam family: Bacterial small subunit ribosomal RNA
Source: RNAcentral
AAUAGAUACCCCGGUAGUCCAUGCCGUAAACGUUGGGCGCUAGAUGUGGGGACCGUUCCACGGUUUCCGUGUCGCAGCUAACGCAUUAAGCGCCCCGCCUGGGGAGUACGGCCGCAAGGCUAAAACUCAAAGGAAUUGACGGGGGCCCGCACAAGCGGCGGAGCAUGCGGAUUAAUUCGAUGCAACGCGAAGAACCUUACCAAGGCUUGACAUAUACGAGAACGCUCUAGAAAUAGAGAACUCUUUGGACACUCGUAUACAGGUGGUGCAUGGUUGUCGUCAGCUCGUGUCGUGAGAUGUUGGGUUAAGUCCCGCAACGAGCGCAACCCUCGUUCUAUGUUGCCAGCGGGUUCGGCCGGGAACUCAUAGGAGACUGCCGGGGUCAACUCGGAGGAAGGUGGGGAUGACGUCAAAUCAUCAUGCCCCUUAUGUCUUGGGCUUCACGCAUGCUACAAUGGCCGGUACAAAGGGCUGCAAUACCGUAAGGUGGAGCGAAUCCCAAAAAGCCGGUCUCAGUUCGGAUUGAGGUCUGCAACUCGACU